RNAcentral lists this ribosomal RNA (757 nucleotides) under uncultured Glomus. RNAcentral's name for it is "eukaryotic LSU rRNA". It matches the Rfam family "Eukaryotic large subunit ribosomal RNA", at positions 38 to 648 of the family's 3401-position model. The record is from RNAcentral. Lineage: Eukaryota; Fungi; Glomeromycota; Glomeromycetes; Glomerales; Glomeraceae.
GCAUAUCAAUAAGCGGAGGAAAAGAAAAUAACAUGAUUCCCUAGUAACUGCGAGUGAAGAGGGACAAGCUCAAAUUUUAAAUCUGUCGGGUUUUACCCGAUCGAGUUGUAAUUUGAAGAAGCGUUUUCUGCGUAUUUGGUCAGCCCAAGUCCUAUUGAAUGAGGCAUCAUGGAGGGUGAUAAUCCCGUCCGGUUGAUCAUUGCGUUUUAUGAUACGCUUUCUAAGAGUCAAGUUGUUUGGGAUUGCAGCUUAAAAUGGGAGGUAAAUUUCUCCUAAGGCUAAAUAACGGCGAGAGACCGAUAGCGAACAAGUACCGUGAGGGAAAGAUGAAAAGAACUUUGAAAAGAGAGUUAAACAGUACGUGAAAUUGUUGAAAGGGAAACGAUUGAAGCCAGUCGUACCUAUGGGUAAUCAGCCUUUUGGGUGUGAUUUUGUGGAGCGUGAAGAGUUAAACGCCUUCAUGCCUGCAUAUUCGUGCACUUUGGGUGUACUUGCCCGUGUGUAAGUUAACAUCAAUUUUGGUGGUCAUAAAAUGGCUGGAGGAAUGUAGCUUCGAUCUUGUAUUGAAGUGUUAUAGCCUUCGGUAGAUGUGACGAUCGGGAUUGAGGAUUGCAACGGAUACCCUUCGGGGCUACCUGUCUGAUCUCUGAUUGUUGCUCUGGUGCCGAAAGCUUGCUUACGGUUAUCAAAGUCGAUGGUUAAUAGGUUAGAACGGGUUAAAUUCGUUAAGGAUGUUGACGUAAUGGCUUUAAACGAC